Molecule: ribosomal RNA, 197 nt
Filed under: Salmonella enterica subsp. enterica serovar Heidelberg
Lineage: Bacteria; Pseudomonadati; Pseudomonadota; Gammaproteobacteria; Enterobacterales; Enterobacteriaceae
Also listed under: 2 other names
Description: partial 23S ribosomal RNA
Rfam family: Bacterial large subunit ribosomal RNA
Source: RNAcentral
UAGCUAAAUGCGGAAGAGAUAAGUGCUGAAAGCAUCUAAGCACGAAACUUGCCCCGAGAUGAGUUCUCCCUGAGACUUAGAGUCUCCUGAAGGAACGUUGAAGACGACGACGUUGAUAGGCCGGGUGUGUAAGCGCAGCGAUGCGUUGAGCUAACCGGUACUAAUGAACCGUGAGGCUUAACCUUACAACGCCGAAG